This 438-nucleotide ribosomal RNA is filed under the name uncultured bacterium. RNAcentral's name for it is "bacterial SSU rRNA". It matches the Rfam family "Bacterial small subunit ribosomal RNA", at positions 338 to 793 of the family's 1533-position model. The record is from RNAcentral.
CCUACGGGUUGCAGCAGUGGGGAAUAUUGGACAAUGGGCGAAAGCCUGAUCCAGCAAUGCCGCGUGUGUGAAGAAGGUCUUCGGAUUGUAAAGCACUUUCGACGGGGACGAUGAUGACGGUACCCGUAGAAGAAGCCCCGGCUAACUUCGUGCCAGCAGCCGCGGUAAUACGAAGGGGGCUAGCGUUGUUCGGAAUUACUGGGCGUAAAGCGCGCGUAGGCGGAUAGAUAAGUCAGAGGUGAAAUCCCGGGGCUCAACCCCGGAAUUGCCUUUGAUACUGUUUAGCUGGAGUGCAGAAGAGGUAAGUGGAAUUCCGAGUGUAGAGGUGAAAUUCGUAGAUAUUCGGAGGAACACCAGUGGCGAAGGCGGAUUUCUGGUCUGCAACUGACGCUGAGGCACGAAAGCGUGGGGAGCAAACAGGAUUAGAUACCCCCGUAG